This 239-nucleotide non-coding RNA is filed under the name Vigna radiata var. radiata (mung bean). RNAcentral describes it as "Bacterial small subunit ribosomal RNA". It matches the Rfam family "Bacterial small subunit ribosomal RNA", at positions 56 to 543 of the family's 1533-position model. The record is from Rfam by way of RNAcentral. Lineage: Eukaryota; Viridiplantae; Streptophyta; Magnoliopsida; Fabales; Fabaceae.
UGAAAGCCUAUAUAACCUGUUUAUUAUAUGAAGUUCACAUAGGUUAACACACCCCCUUCACGCCAAUGGAGAAUUUUCCGCAAUGGGCGAAAGCCUGACGGAGCAAUGCCGCGUGAAGGUAGAAGGCCUACGGGUCAUGAACUUCUUUUCCUGGAGAAGAAGUAAUGACGGUAUCCGGGGAAUAAGCAUCGGCUAACUCUGUGCCAGCAGCCGCGGUAAGACAGANGAUGCAAGCGUUA